RNAcentral lists this ribosomal RNA (493 nucleotides) under Klebsiella pneumoniae. Its description in RNAcentral is "bacterial SSU rRNA". It matches the Rfam family "Bacterial small subunit ribosomal RNA", at positions 959 to 1452 of the family's 1533-position model. Lineage: Bacteria; Pseudomonadati; Pseudomonadota; Gammaproteobacteria; Enterobacterales; Enterobacteriaceae. The record is from RNAcentral.
ACGCGAAGAACCUUACCUGGUCUUUGACAUCCACAGAACUUUCCAGAGAUGGAUUGGUGCCUUCGGGAACUGUGAGACAGGUGCUGCAUGGCUGUCGUCAGCUCGUGUUGUGAAAUGUUGGGUUAAGUCCCGCAACGAGCGCAACCUUUAUCCUUUGUUGCCAGCGGUUCGGCCGGGAACUCAAAGGAGACUGCCAGUGAUAAACUGGAGGAAGGUGGGGAUGACGUCAAGUCAUCAUGGCCCUUACGACCAGGGCUACACACGUGCUACAAUGGCAUAUACAAAGAGAAGCGACCUCGCGAGAGCAAGCGGACCUCAUAAAGUAUGUCGUAGUCCGGAUUGGAGUCUGCAACUCGACUCCAUGAAGUCGGAAUCGCUAGUAAUCGUAGAUCAGAAUGCUACGGUGAAUACGUUCCCGGGCCUUGUACACCCCCCCCGUCACACCAUGGGAGUGGGUUGCAAAAGAAGUAGGUAGCUUAACCUCGGGAGGGCU